Molecule: ribosomal RNA, 249 nt
Filed under: Klebsiella pneumoniae
Lineage: Bacteria; Pseudomonadati; Pseudomonadota; Gammaproteobacteria; Enterobacterales; Enterobacteriaceae
Description: partial 16S ribosomal RNA
Rfam family: Bacterial small subunit ribosomal RNA
Source: RNAcentral
GCAGCAGUGGGGAAUAUUGCACAAUGGGCGCAAGCCUGAUGCAGCCAUGCCGCGUGUGUGAAGAAGGCCUUCGGGUUGUAAAGCACUUUCAGCGGGGAGGAAGGCGGUGAGGUUAAUAACCUCACCGAUUGACGUUACCCGCAGAAGAAGCACCGGCUAACUCCGUGCCAGCAGCCGCGGUAAUACGGAGGGUGCAAGCGUUAAUCGGAAUUACUGGGCGUAAAGCGCACGCAGGCGGUCUGUCAAGUC